RNAcentral lists this transfer RNA (85 nucleotides) under Felis catus (domestic cat). It matches the Rfam family "tRNA". From Rfam's summary of the family: Transfer RNA (tRNA) molecules are approximately 80 nucleotides in length. Lineage: Eukaryota; Metazoa; Chordata; Mammalia; Carnivora; Felidae. The record is from Rfam by way of RNAcentral.
GCCUGGGUGGCUCAGUCGGUUGAGCUUCCGACUUCGGCUCAGGUCAUGAUCUCACAGCUCGUGGGUUCAAGCCCCGCAUCAGGCU